CCUACGGGAGGCAGCAGUGAGGAAUAUUGGUCAAUGGGAGGAAUCCUGAACCAGCCAUGCCGCGUGCAGGACGACGGCCCUACGAGUUGUAAACUGCUUUUGUAUCGGGGUAAAAUGCCUUAUGCGUACGCUCUUGUAAGUACCGUACGAAUAAGGAUCGGCUAACUCCGUGCCAGCAGCCGCGGUAAUACGGAGGAUCCGAGCGUUAUCCGGAUUCAUUGGGUUUAAAGGGUGCGUAGGUUGUUUUUUAAGUUAGCGGUGAAAUUCCGAGGCUCAACCUCGAGGCUGCCGUUAAUACUGUAAGACUAGAGAUCAGAUGCGGCAGGCGGAAUGUGUAGUGUAGCGGUGAAAUGCAUAGAUAUUACACAGAACACCGAUUGCGAAGGCAGCUUGCUAGGCCGGAUCUGACACUGAUGCACGAAAGCGUGGGGAUCGAACAGGAUUAGAUACCCCAGUAGUC
This 460-nucleotide ribosomal RNA is filed under the name uncultured bacterium. RNAcentral describes it as "partial 16S ribosomal RNA". It matches the Rfam family "Bacterial small subunit ribosomal RNA", at positions 338 to 795 of the family's 1533-position model. The record is from RNAcentral.